RNAcentral lists this ribosomal RNA (620 nucleotides) under Salmonella enterica subsp. enterica serovar Newport. Its description in RNAcentral is "bacterial LSU rRNA". It matches the Rfam family "Bacterial large subunit ribosomal RNA", at positions 591 to 1212 of the family's 2925-position model. The record is from RNAcentral. Lineage: Bacteria; Pseudomonadati; Pseudomonadota; Gammaproteobacteria; Enterobacterales; Enterobacteriaceae.
GUGUGACUGCGUACCUUUUGUAUAAUGGGUCAGCGACUUAUAUUCUGUAGCAAGGUUAACCGAAUAGGGGAGCCGGAGGGAAACCGAGUCUUAACCGGGCGUUAAGUUGCAGGGUAUAGACCCGAAACCCGGUGAUCUAGCCAUGGGCAGGUUGAAGGUUGGGUAACACUAACUGGAGGACCGAACCGACUAAUGUUGAAAAAUUAGCGGAUGACCUGUGGCUGGGGGUGAAAGGCCAAUCAAACCGGGAGAUAGCUGGUUCUCCCCGAAAGCUAUUUAGGUAGCGCCUCGUGAAUUCAUCUCCGGGGGUAGAGCACUGUUUCGGCUAGGGGGCCAUCCCGGCUUACCAACCCGAUGCAAACUGCGAAUACCGGAGAAUGUUAUCACGGGAGACACACGGCGGGUGCUAACGUCCGUCGUGAAGAGGGAAACAACCCAGACCGCCAGCUAAGGUCCCAAAGUCAUGGUUAAGUGGGAAACGAUGUGGGAAGGCCCAGACAGCCAGGAUGUUGGCUUAGAAGCAGCCAUCAUUUAAAGAAAGCGUAAUAGCUCACUGGUCGAGUCGGCCUGCGCGGAAGAUGUAACGGGGCUAAACCAUGCACCGAAGCUGCGGCAGCGAC